GUGACCUCAUACAAAGGCUUGGCUAAUACUGCAAAGUUUGGGAUCCACAGUCUACAAAACCCCACAUCCCCUGAGAAUUCUCUCGCCUGCCUUAGGCACUUAGGCUCCGGGAGAUUGCAAAUAACCUGCUUUCUUUCUGUUCCCGGGCUGCGUUCGGACUCCUGUCAGAUAGUAAAUCCUAAGUGGCGUCGGACCCCUGUCAGAGAGUAAAUCUCAAGUAAGGUACCUGCCAUCGGCAGAUUUGAGCUUUCUUCUUGGACACCUAAUACCCACAGUCCUCCAGGCUCCGGUAGACUGCAAAUGACCUGCUUUCUUUCUGUUCCCGGGCUGCGUUUGGACCCCUGUCGGAUAGUAAAUCCCAAGUAAGGUACCUGCCCUCGGCAGAUUUGAGCUUUCUUCUUGGACACCUAAUACCCACAGUCCCCCAGGCUCCGGUAGACUGCAAAUGACCUGCUUUCUUUCUGUUCCCGGGCUGCGUUUGGACCCCUGUCGGACAGUAAAUCCCAAGUAAGGUACCUGCCCUCGGCAGAUUUGAGCUUUCUUCUUGGACACCUAAUACCCACAGUCCUCCAGGCUGUAGAUGAAGGGGUUCAGCAUGGAGGUGAUCACCGUGUACAUCACUGAGGCCACUGCAGCCUUUCUCGGGGAAGAUGACACAUCUGAACUGAGGUACCCUCCAAAGCCUGUUCCGUAAAAUCAGCAAACAACUGACAGGAUAACUUCAGGAAGUGGGUAUUAAUUCUCACGGUAUAAGUGAAGACAUUAAGCACCAGAGUUUAAGUAGCUUGAUCCACUGAAAGAGAUUCAACUGUGUGGAACCUAUGCCGUGGAGAAUUGCUUUCUGCCAUUGUUAUCGUCCAGCAGUUGCCGAAUAGCUCUGACCUGAGCAAAGCAGUGAAACGCGGUGCUGUUGAGUGGGUUGCCACUGCACCUUUUUCAACUACUCUAGUCUUGUGGAGAAAAUACCCCUUCUAAAUUUUUUCUUCAUUGAAUACUCUCCCUCAGCUCCAGAGUACCAUAUAGAGUUUUCUUGUAUUUUAGAGUUACUGUUUUAUCAAAGUUUACCAGUCUUUUGUAUUACAUUUCUCCUGUCUAAAUCGACUGUGUGGUUUCUACUCAUUAUGGAUAUAGAUUGAUACAAACUCAAUAAAUAUUUUUGAAUGAAUAA
This is a long non-coding RNA of Homo sapiens (human), 1168 nucleotides long. Ensembl annotates it as long intergenic non-protein coding RNA 1198. NCBI's taxonomy places the organism in Eukaryota, Metazoa, Chordata, Mammalia, Primates, Hominidae. The record is from Ensembl.